AAGGUUUAAAUCUAUUAUUAUUGUUGUUGUUAUUAGCAGAAGUAGUAGCUAUUUUUGUGAUUAUGGUUACAAUAAAUUCUUAGAAAACAUAGUGGAGCCCUUUAGUAACAGUAACUAUCAUUUAUGGGGCACUCUUUAAUGUGAUAUAUCUAUUAAUUUAUGGUUUAAUUUUCAUAUAUACAUUUUUCUAAUUCCCCCCC
Unclassified non-coding RNA from Microcebus murinus (gray mouse lemur), 200 nucleotides. The record is from Ensembl. Lineage: Eukaryota; Metazoa; Chordata; Mammalia; Primates; Cheirogaleidae.